AGGGGUACAGCUCAGGGGUGGAGCGCGUACUUGGCGUGCACGAGGUCCUGGGUUCAAUGCCCGGUGCCUCUG
RNAcentral lists this transfer RNA (72 nucleotides) under Camelus dromedarius (Arabian camel). It matches the Rfam family "tRNA". From Rfam's summary of the family: Transfer RNA (tRNA) molecules are approximately 80 nucleotides in length. Their secondary structure includes four short double-helical elements and three loops (D, anti-codon, and T loops). Further hydrogen bonds mediate the characteristic L-shaped molecular structure. tRNAs have two regions of fundamental functional importance: the anti-codon, which is responsible for specific mRNA codon recognition, and the 3' end, to which the tRNAs corresponding amino acid is attached (by aminoacyl-tRNA synthetases). tRNAs cope with the degeneracy of the genetic code in two manners: having more than one tRNA (with a specific anti-codon) for a particular amino acid; and 'wobble' base-pairing, i.e. permitting non-standard base-pairing at the 3rd anti-codon position. The record is from Rfam by way of RNAcentral. RNAcentral also lists the same sequence under 1 other name. Lineage: Eukaryota; Metazoa; Chordata; Mammalia; Artiodactyla; Camelidae.